Molecule: transfer RNA, 137 nt
Filed under: Drepanopeziza brunnea f. sp. 'multigermtubi' MB_m1
Lineage: Eukaryota; Fungi; Ascomycota; Leotiomycetes; Helotiales; Drepanopezizaceae
Description: tRNA-Pro (CGG) (tRNA-Pro-CGG-2-1)
Source: RNAcentral
GGCUCAAUGGUCUAGGUUAGUUGCCUUCACAUCUCCGGAUUUCGUCACUUUGAGGCGUGUUGAGACUAACAAGCGCACAGUGGUAUGAUUGUUGCUUCGGGUGUGACAGGCCCCGGGUUCAAAUCCCGGUUGAGCCC